CCUACGGGAGGCAGCAGUGGGGAAUUUUGGACAAUGGGCGCAAGCCUGAUCCAGCAAUGCCGCGUGAGUGAAGAAGGCCUUCGGGUUGUAAAGCUCUUUUGUCAGGGAAGAAACGGUGGGAGCUAAUAUCUCCCGCUAAUGACGGUACCUGAAGAAUAAGCACCGGCUAACUACGUGCCAGCAGCCGCGGUAAUACGUAGGGUGCAAGCGUUAAUCGGAAUUACUGGGCGUAAAGCGUGCGCAGGCGGCUUUGUAAGUCUGUCGUGAAAGCCCCGGGCUCAACCUGGGAAUUGCGAUGGAGACUGCAAGGCUUGAAUCUGGCAGAGGGGGGGUAGAAUUCCACGUGUAGCAGUGAAAUGCGUAGAGAUGUGGAGGAACACCGAUGGCGAAGGCAGCCCCCUGGGUCAAGAUUGACGCUCAUGCACGAAAGCGUGGGGAGCAAACAGGAUUAGAUACCCUGGUAGUCCACGCCCUAAACGAUGUCUACUAGUUGUCGGGUUUUAAUUAACUUGGUAACGCAGCUAACGCGUGAAGUAGACCGCCUGGGGAGUACGGUCGCAAGAUUAAAACUCAAAGGAAUUGACGG
Molecule: ribosomal RNA, 586 nt
Filed under: uncultured bacterium
Lineage: Bacteria
Description: bacterial SSU rRNA
Rfam family: Bacterial small subunit ribosomal RNA
Source: RNAcentral